AACCUUAUGGACCUGCGGGCGUAUACCUGCGGAGGGAUCAUUAUAGAGUUUUCUAAACUCCCAACCCAUGUGAACUUACCUUUUGUUGCCUCGGCAGAAGUUAUAGGUCUUCUUAUAGCUGCUGCCGGUGGACCAUUAAACUCUUGUUAUUUUAUGUAAUCUGAGCGUCUUAUUUUAAUAAGUCAAAACUUUUAACAACGGAUCU
RNAcentral lists this unclassified non-coding RNA (205 nucleotides) under soil metagenome. Its description in RNAcentral is "partial contains 5.8S ribosomal RNA, internal transcribed spacer 2, and large subunit ribosomal RNA". The record is from RNAcentral.